AUACGGAAGGUCCGGGCGUUAUCCGGAUUUAUUGGGUUUAAAGGGAGCGCAGGCGGAGAUGCAAGCGUGACGUCAAAUUUCGGGGCUCAACCCCGUCUCGCGUCGCGAACUGCGUCCCUUGGUUGCGGGAAGGGGAGGCGGAACUCGUGGUGUAGCGGUGAAAUGCAUAGAUAUCACGAAGAACUCCGAUCGCGAAGGCAGCCUUCCGGCCCGUCAACGACGCUCAUGCUCGAAGGUGCGGGUAUCAAACAGGAUUAGAUACCUGGUAGUCCGCACAGUAAACGAUGGACACCCGCGGUUUGGCCUGUAUGGCUGAGCCGCCAAGCGAAAGCGUUAAGUGUCCCACCUGGGGAGUACGCCGGCAACGGUGAAACUCAAAUGAAUUGACGGGG
This 392-nucleotide ribosomal RNA is filed under the name uncultured bacterium. Its description in RNAcentral is "partial 16S ribosomal RNA". It matches the Rfam family "Bacterial small subunit ribosomal RNA", at positions 523 to 918 of the family's 1533-position model. The record is from RNAcentral.